UACGUAGGGUGCAAGCGUUUGUCCGGAAUUAUUGGGCGUAAAGAGCUCGUAGGCGGUUUGUCGCGUCGGCUGUGAAAACCCGGGGCUCAACCCCGGGCCUGCAGCCGAUACGGGCAGCUAGAGUUCGGUAGGGGAGACUGGAAUUCCUGGUGUAGCGGUGAAAUGACGCAGAUAUCAGGAGGAACACCGGUGGCGAAGGCGGGUCUCUGGGCCGAAACUGACGCUGGAGGAGCGAAAGCGUGGGGAGCAAACAGG
RNAcentral lists this ribosomal RNA (255 nucleotides) under uncultured bacterium. RNAcentral's name for it is "partial 16S ribosomal RNA". It matches the Rfam family "Bacterial small subunit ribosomal RNA", at positions 524 to 776 of the family's 1533-position model. The record is from RNAcentral.